Molecule: ribosomal RNA, 466 nt
Filed under: uncultured bacterium
Lineage: Bacteria
Description: bacterial SSU rRNA
Rfam family: Bacterial small subunit ribosomal RNA
Source: RNAcentral
UGGAGGAAAGUAGGGGAUCGAAAGACCUUAUGCUUUUGGAGCGGCCGAUGUCUGAUUAGCUAGUUGGUAAGGUAAAGGCUUACCAAGGCGACGAUCAGUAGUUGGUCUGAGAGGACGACCAGCCACACUGGGACUGAGACACGGCCCAGACUCCUACGGGAGGCAGCAGUGGGGAAUUUUGGACAAUGGGCGAAAGCCUGAUCCAGCAAUGCCGCGUGAGUGAAGAAGGCCUUCGGGUUGUAAAGCUCUUUCAGUCGAGAAGAAAAGGUUAUGACUAAUAAUCAUAAUUUCUGACGGUAUCGACAGAAGAAGCACCGGCUAACUACGUGCCAGCAGCCGCGGUAAUACGUAGGGUGCAAGCGUUAAUCGGAAUUACUGGGCGUAAAGGGUGCGCAGGCGGCUCUGCAAGUCAGAUGUGAAAUCCCCGGGCUUAACCUGGGAACUGCGUUUGAAACUACAAAGCUAG